This is a long non-coding RNA of Suricata suricatta (meerkat), 2702 nucleotides long. RefSeq lists it as uncharacterized. The transcript has 4 exons. NCBI's taxonomy places the organism in Eukaryota, Metazoa, Chordata, Mammalia, Carnivora, Herpestidae. The record is from RefSeq and is a predicted model, not a curated record.
CCCCGAUCGAUCCCGAUCGGAAAAGUCAGCCACGCGGGACCUGUAGACCCGGGCGACCGAGGUGCAGCCAGGAGCAGCACCUGAAGCCACCUCGAAGGCUCAGCUCGUCAGCCAGGUUCUCACAGCCACCUGCUUCUGCAGCUCAUACCAUUUAAACCCCAGAUGUUUGCCUUUUUUGUUAAGUGAAGGAACAGAGAAGGGACACCAAAUCCAGCCAGACUGUGGCCCUGGGGAUUCACGUCCUGACUCCAGGAGGUCUUCAGGAAUCAGGGCUGUUCCAGACAUCCUCAGCUCCUGCUUGGUACGGCAGUUGACUGGUAAAAGUUAAACGGGAAUAUUAUGAUCAAAAAUGAGCGGCAUGCCAACUGCCACCACGCACAAUGCCGGGACUUUCAUGUGUAUUCUCUUUCCUUCUCUCUCCUUCCCAACAAGCCCAGAAGGCAAGAAUCAUUAUCGUCCCUAUCAUAAAGGUGAGGAAGUUAAGGCUCAGAGAUGGUCAGACAACUAUGGGAAUCCAGCCUAGAGGGGAACCCGAAAUUCGGUUUGACCUGAAAUUCCACAUUUUUCCCAUUCCUUCUUUGUAAUAUUUUCCUGCACAGGUACUCAGGGGAAAUGGGUUGAAUUCAUUGAUGCCAUUUUUAAGUGCUGUUUGUGGGUAAGAGUUUGAAGUCAGUGACAUGGAGCCCCCACGAUGCUGUAAGGAGACGGCAGAACCCACGAGUCCCCGGCUGCCAGCGGCGCUCACUCAGUGCCUGCCCGCAGUCAGGACUCAACAAAAAUGCAGUGGUCGAUCAACUGCUAGUCAACAUUCACCUCUUCCCUGUUGCUUAGGGACGUGCAGGUCACAGGACCCAGUCUGUACACUGGGCUGUGCUGGUAGUGGGUGAGAUGCAGAGCCCCUUGCCUCCAUUGUCCCUGGUUCCUGACCUAAAAAUGAGUCCAGCCGUCAGAUUCCAUCGGAAGCUCCCUCCCUGCGCCCUCCCCCCACCCGAUCUCUGUAGGAGACACAGGCCUGUCUAGUUUCCAUGGAUGGAUCACCCACCCAAGUCGUCCCUGAUGCCACCAGGAUCCAGACUCUCCAGAAAACAAGCCAGGCCCCUGAGAGUUCACCCUUCCGGCAUUGAACUUGAGAGGUUUACAGAGCAGCAGAAAGGCCACAGAAGUUCGCAAACUCUCCUUGGGCUCCCAUAGGCCGGUGCACUCACCACAGGUCAAGAGCCAAACCUACCAUUUCCUGCCUUCUUUGCUGGCAAUGCUUGUUACAGCCAGUCCUGAAGGACGGCCUGCUCUCACCUGCUCGCUGCAACGGCCUCACUCACUUCAGUUCAGCCCACUCUGGGCUCACCCCGAGGUCGCCCGGGGGGAGAGCCCACUCUGUGCCCAGCACCGUGCCAGGAGCUGGGUCUGCAGCAGAUAGGCAGUAAACUACUCUCGCGGGCUCAUCUCUCAGCUCCAGACACCCGAAGUCUCCCCCUCGGGCCACAAGGGUUAAGAUAGAGCGGGCUGCCCACAAAGGAAUGUGAUGAAAUGGCAAAGUCCCUAGUAGGGGACGAGAGUAUGGGGCUAAUGGCCAGCCCUAGGACGGGUCCACCUCAGCACCCCCUCCAGCGGCCCUGCCCCUUCCGGCAGAAAGCCUACAGCUGGGUGUUCUCUUCAGAGUGGCCUCCAGGGGAAGGCCUCACCAGCGUUCACCGGGCCCCGUCUGGCCCCACCCCACCAUGAAAUGGUGCACAAACCCAAGGCACCGCACCGUACCCUCCAAGAAGGCAGGGUUCAUUCCACUUUUGCCCAGUGGUUUCCUGGUAAAUGUUUAACAGCCAGCUGAUUGAAAGCAGAAAAGCUGUCUUAGAGCAUGUGACACCUUCCCCGGUGUCACCGCCCCCACCAUGGCAGUUUUCAAGCCACCAGACUGCAUUGCCGAACAAGGAGUUGGGAAAGAUUGAUCCCACUAUUAAGUGUGUCUGCCUGCAGACACAACACACCAGGGCCACACAGCAAGCAGUGGUGGGGGGGCCACAUUCGGCCCGGGGCUGGCAAACCAUAAAAUACUUCCCAUCUGGCCCCUUUCCAGAAAAGUUUGGUGGCCCCUGAAACACCCCUAACCUUCAGAACAGAGAUACUAAUGCAAUGCAGUAGAAUAAUUAGGAAGUGAUAAGUCUGAUUAACCUUCUUAAAAUUAUAAUUUAAUUGUAAUUUUAUAUAAUUUAAGUGUGCUUAAUGACUGCUUGACAACUCGAAAAAAUUUCUGAAAAGCUAACAACCAGCGGUCAUGAGCCGGGACAGGAUGGCUGUGACCGGCCUAGGCCUCUAGGGCCUGGUCCAGAGGGGCCCACGGGGGGUAUGAGAUGGCUAGAAAUCGAUGCCAGUGUCCUAACUGCUAAACCACCGUGCCCUGCCUCCUUCAUCCCUUCAUUCAGUUCCAUCAAACACCCAUCUAUUUGCAUCUUCUGAGCGCCAAGGACUUUGUUAGGCAAAGCGGUUCCUCAGAUCCGCAGGGGAAGGGGGUGGGGAUACUUCAAGACCCCCAGUCGACAGCUGAGACCAUGGAUGGUACUGAACCCCAUAUAGAUUGUUUUUUCCUAUAUAUACACGCCUAUGAUAAAGUUUAAUUUAUAAAUUAGGCCCUGUAAGAGGUGAACAACGACAAAUUACAACAUAGAAUUAUAACAAUAUAUUGUAAUAAAAGUUACGUGAAUAUGGUC